CAGGGGAGCAGAGAUCCCGAGCCCACGAGGGGUGAAAAGUGGAAGGUAGAAAACAGCAGAGAAGUUUCUUGGACAAGCACAUCCCCUGACUUCAGCAUCCAUUCUCAACAACAGUUUGUGCAGAAGAAGGUAGGAGAAGGCAGGACAUCUUCUUCUUUGUCUUUCCUAGUGAUGCUCCCAUCCACCCCAUCCAAGUGUCUGAGGAUUGGUCAUCUGUUUCAAGGUUAGAAUUUGACUCUAGCCAAUUUCAA
Ornithorhynchus anatinus (platypus) is the source of this 251-nucleotide long non-coding RNA. RefSeq lists it as uncharacterized. Lineage: Eukaryota; Metazoa; Chordata; Mammalia; Monotremata; Ornithorhynchidae. The transcript is spliced from 3 exons. The record is from RefSeq and is a predicted model, not a curated record.